This 333-nucleotide long non-coding RNA is filed under the name Callithrix jacchus (white-tufted-ear marmoset). RNAcentral's name for it is "lncRNA (ENSCJAG00000080748.1)". Lineage: Eukaryota; Metazoa; Chordata; Mammalia; Primates; Cebidae. The record is from RNAcentral.
CAAUGGGCCCUUGUUUGCAAUGUGCCACGCUCCCCAGAUUCUCCUCCUGAGACUAGGCCAUGGAUUUCACAACCAGGAGAAGUGGGACUCAGAAGGGAUAAGUAUGUUUCUCUAUGACCUGGUUGCCGGAGUGGACCUUAAUUAAAUGGAAAAGCGCAAUCAAGCAUCUGCAUGGAAAAGAACUGCUUUGAAAUGGCAACCGGGUGUCCAGCCCUCAUCCGCUCACAGGUUCUGGAGUACAUCUGCAGGAUGUGCAGGUAUGUUACAUAGGUAAGCGUGAACCAUGAUGGUUUGCUGCAUAGAUCAACCAUCGGUUUGGUAUUAAGCCCAGCA